This 1068-nucleotide ribosomal RNA is filed under the name Curtobacterium oceanosedimentum. Its description in RNAcentral is "bacterial SSU rRNA". It matches the Rfam family "Bacterial small subunit ribosomal RNA", at positions 56 to 1131 of the family's 1533-position model. The record is from RNAcentral. Lineage: Bacteria; Bacillati; Actinomycetota; Actinomycetes; Micrococcales; Microbacteriaceae.
UGCAGUCGAACGAUGAUGCCCAGCUUGCUGGGUGGAUUAGUGGCGAACGGGUGAGUAACACGUGAGUAACCUGCCCCUGACUCUGGGAUAAGCGUUGGAAACGACGUCUAAUACUGGAUAUGACUGCCGGCCGCAUGGUCUGGUGGUGGAAAGAUUUUUUGGUUGGGGAUGGACUCGCGGCCUAUCAGCUUGUUGGUGAGGUAAUGGCUCACCAAGGCGACGACGGGUAGCCGGCCUGAGAGGGUGACCGGCCACACUGGGACUGAGACACGGCCCAGACUCCUACGGGAGGCAGCAGUGGGGAAUAUUGCACAAUGGGCGAAAGCCUGAUGCAGCAACGCCGCGUGAGGGAUGACGGCCUUCGGGUUGUAAACCUCUUUUAGUAGGGAAGAAGGGAGCUUGCUCUUGACGGUACCUGCAGAAAAAGCACCGGCUAACUACGUGCCAGCAGCCGCGGUAAUACGUAGGGUGCAAGCGUUGUCCGGAAUUAUUGGGCGUAAAGAGCUCGUAGGCGGUUUGUCGCGUCUGCUGUGAAAUCCCGAGGCUCAACCUCGGGCUUGCAGUGGGUACGGGCAGACUAGAGUGCGGUAGGGGAGAUUGGAAUUCCUGGUGUAGCGGUGGAAUGCGCAGAUAUCAGGAGGAACACCGAUGGCGAAGGCAGAUCUCUGGGCCGUAACUGACGCUGAGGAGCGAAAGCAUGGGGAGCGAACAGGAUUAGAUACCCUGGUAGUCCAUGCCGUAAACGUUGGGCGCUAGAUGUAGGGACCUUUCCACGGUUUCUGUGUCGUAGCUAACGCAUUAAGCGCCCCGCCUGGGGAGUACGGCCGCAAGGCUAAAACUCAAAGGAAUUGACGGGGGCCCGCACAAGCGGCGGAGCAUGCGGAUUAAUUCGAUGCAACGCGAAGAACCUUACCAAGGCUUGACAUACACCGGAAACGGCCAGAGAUGGUCGCCCCCUUGUGGUCGGUGUACAGGUGGUGCAUGGUUGUCGUCAGCUCGUGUCGUGAGAUGUUGGGUUAAGUCCCGCAACGAGCGCAACCCUCGUUCUAUGUUGCCAGCGCGUUAUGG